This 467-nucleotide ribosomal RNA is filed under the name uncultured bacterium. RNAcentral describes it as "partial 16S ribosomal RNA". It matches the Rfam family "Bacterial small subunit ribosomal RNA", at positions 28 to 507 of the family's 1533-position model. The record is from RNAcentral.
GACGAACGCUGGCGGCGUGCUUAACACAUGCAAGUCGAACGGAAAGGCCCUGCUUUUGUGGGGUGCUCGAGUGGCGAACGGGUGAGUAACACGUGAGUAACCUGCCCUUGACUUUGGGAUAACUUCAGGAAACUGGGGCUAAUACCGGAUAGGAGCUCCUGCUGCAUGGUGGGGGUUGGAAAGUUUCGGCGGUUGGGGAUGGACUCGCGGCUUAUCAGCUUGUUGGUGGGGUAGUGGCUUACCAAGGCUUUGACGGGUAGCCGGCCUGAGAGGGUGACCGGCCACAUUGGGACUGAGAUACGGCCCAGACUCCUACGGGAGGCAGCAGCGGGGAAUAUUGCACAAUGGGCGGAAGCCUGAUGCAGCAACGCCGCGUGCGGGAUGACGGCCUUCGGGUUGUAAACCGCUUUCGCCUGUGACGAAGCGUGAGUGACGGUAAUGGUAAAGAAGCACCGGCUAACUACGUG